GAUGAACGCUAGCGAUAGGCUUAACACAUGCAAGUCGAGGGGCAGCAUGAUCUUAGCUUGCUAAGGUUGAUGGCGACCGGCGCACGGGUGCGUAACGCGUAUGCAACUUGCCUUACAGAGGGGGAUAACCCGUUGGAAGACGGACUAAAACCGCAUACACUUGUAUUAUUGCAUGAUAUUACAAGGAAAUAUUUAUAGCUGUAAGAUAGGCAUGCGUCCCAUUAGCUGGUUGGUGAGGUAACGGCUCACCAAGGCGACGAUGGGUAGGGGAACUGAGAGGUUUAUCCCCCACACUGGUACUGAGACACGGACCAGACUCCUACGGGAGGCAGCAGUGAGGAAUAUUGGUCAAUGGGCGAUAGCCUGAACCAGCCAAGUCGCGUGAAGGAAGACAGUAACUUCUUUUAUACGGGAAUAACGGGCGAUACGAGUAUUGCAUUGAAUGUACCGUAAGAAUAAGCAUCGGCUAACUCCGUGCCAGCAGCCGCGGUAAUACGGAGGAUGCGAGCGUUAUCCGGAUUUAUUGGGUUUAAAGGGUGCGUAGGUUGUUCGGUAAGUCAGCGGUGAAACCUGAGCGCUCAACGUUCAGCCUGCCGUUGAAACUGCCGGGCUUGAGUUCAGUGGCGGCAGGCGGAAUUCGUGGUGUAGCGGUGAAAUGCAUAGAUAUCACGAGGAACUCCGAUUGCGAAGGCAGCUUGCCAUACUGCGACUGACACUGAGGCACGAAGGCGUGGGUAUCAAACAGGAUUAGAUACCCUGGUAGUCCACGCAGUAAACGAUGAUUACUAGGAGUUUGCGAUAUACCGUCAAGCUUCCACAGCGAAAGCGUUAAGUAAUCCACCUGGGGAGUACGCCGGCAACGGUGAAACUCAAAGGAAUUGACGGGGGCCCGCACAAGCGGAGGAACAUGUGGUUUAAUUCGAUGAUACGCGAGGAACCUUACCCGGGAUUGAAAUGUAGAUGACGGAUGGUGAAAGCCGUCUUCCCUUCGGGGC
This 995-nucleotide ribosomal RNA is filed under the name Porphyromonas gingivalis. RNAcentral's name for it is "bacterial SSU rRNA". It matches the Rfam family "Bacterial small subunit ribosomal RNA", at positions 28 to 1027 of the family's 1533-position model. Lineage: Bacteria; Pseudomonadati; Bacteroidota; Bacteroidia; Bacteroidales; Porphyromonadaceae. The record is from RNAcentral.